RNAcentral lists this ribosomal RNA (354 nucleotides) under uncultured fungus. Its description in RNAcentral is "bacterial SSU rRNA". It matches the Rfam family "Eukaryotic small subunit ribosomal RNA", at positions 20 to 370 of the family's 1831-position model. Lineage: Eukaryota; Fungi. The record is from RNAcentral.
GUAGUCAUAUGCUUGUCUCAAAGAUUAAGCCAUGCAUGUCUAAGUUUAAGCAAUCUAAACAGUGAAACUGCGAAUGGCUCAUUAACUCAGUUAUAAUUUAUUUGAUAGUGCAACCUUUACUUGGAUAACCGUGGUAAUUCUAGAGCUAAUACAUGCAAAAAAACCCAAACUCACGAAUGGGUGCACUUAUUAGAUAAAACCAACGCUGGGUAAAACCAGUUUCCCUUGGUGAUUCAUAAUAAUUUAGCGGAUCGCAUGGCCUUGUGCUAGCGACAGUCCACUCGAUUUUCUGCCCUAUCAUGGUUGAGAUUGUAAGAUAGAGGCUUACAAUGCCUACAACGGGUAACGGGGAAU